RNAcentral lists this long non-coding RNA (207 nucleotides) under Gossypium barbadense (sea-island cotton). RNAcentral describes it as "long non-coding RNA (GBAR_LNC007992)". Lineage: Eukaryota; Viridiplantae; Streptophyta; Magnoliopsida; Malvales; Malvaceae. The record is from RNAcentral.
GAGGUGCUCAUGAUUUUAAAAGGAUUAAAUCCGUCAGAUGCUAACUCGAGCCUUACACUCCGAGGAUCACUUGCAAAGCUUGGAAAUUUAUUGUCAAAUGAUUUCCAUGCAAAAGAAUCUGCAGGAUGCCUUAAUAAUCCAUCAUUCGUUCGUUGAUCAUGAUGCCACGUCAUAAACUCAGCUGUCUUUGACGACAUGAAUAGCCUU